UUUCAGCUGCAGCUCAGUGAUAGAGCAUCUGCCUUGCAUGUAGAAGGUCUCAGGUUCAAUCCCCAAGUAUGGCUGGGAA
Molecule: non-coding RNA, 79 nt
Organism: Podarcis lilfordi (Lilford's wall lizard)
Lineage: Eukaryota; Metazoa; Chordata; Lepidosauria; Squamata; Lacertidae
Source: the annotation of a GenBank genome assembly